RNAcentral lists this ribosomal RNA (319 nucleotides) under uncultured Bacteroidota bacterium. RNAcentral's name for it is "bacterial SSU rRNA". It matches the Rfam family "Bacterial small subunit ribosomal RNA", at positions 28 to 351 of the family's 1533-position model. The record is from RNAcentral. Lineage: Bacteria; Pseudomonadati; Bacteroidota.
GAUGAACGCUAGCGACAGGCCUAACACAUGCAAGUCGAGGGGUAUAGUAGCAAUACUAGAGACCGGCGCACGGGUGCGUAACGCGUAUGCAACCUACCUUCUACUGGGGGAUAGCUUUCGGAAACGGAAAUUAACACCCCAUAAUAUAGUUGAAUCACCUGAUUUGAUUAUUAAAACUCUGGUGGUAGAAGAUGGGCAUGCGUGACAUUAGCUAGUUGGUAGGGUAACGGCCUACCAAGGCUACGAUGUCUAGGGGGUUCUGAGAGGAAGGUCCCCCACACUGGUACUGAGACACGGACCAGACUCCUACGGGUGGCUG